UUUGUUUUAGCUUUUAGUUAAAUAAAUACUUUUAUCGUUUUCGCUCUCUCUGAGUCUUAUUUGAAGUCUGAAGCUUUUAAGCAGGUUCUACAUUAUUUAUCUGCUUGGCUCAAUAUUUACGAAGCGUAACGACUUAAGAACUCAGCAAUAAAAUAUAUUCGUAUAAUUUUUAUUUUUAUUUCUUUUUAAAGUAUAAAAUGACUUUUGUCAGAACCUCAGCUCUUAAAGCCCUUUAAAAUUGAACGCAUUUUCACUAAAUUCUGCCAUUUAUCAGGCAUGCAAAUUACUUUGUUUUGACGCCCAGUUUGGAGAAUCAUGAUUUACCGUAAAUCCACUUAAUAACUAAACAAAUAAAUGAAAGUUAAUUUAUAGCCCAUCAGUAAACAACAACAACAACAACAACUACAAGUAAAGGGCCAAAAGGUUGUGAGCUCCAUUAACCAAAUGCCUUGGCAUCGGCACUGGAGACUGAAGGGAUGUUGGCCCGCAGCACAUUCCGGCGUAAUUUAUGCGCACAAUUAAUUUUAAAAUCCUAAUCUCAGACAAUAUCAACAUGCUUAACAGAGAAAAAGGGAUUCGUGCGGCAAAUACCGCACUGGGCAUAUACAAAAUAUAUACACCUGCUGCGAGUAUUAUUGAUAUGCAGGAAAAAAUAAACAAGUAAUUGCGUUCUAGGCAGAAUUGCAUGACUAGACGAUACCCUAACUUAUGUUAGAGCUGUAACCUUAAUCAUUGAUGAUUCUUUUUAUAGAAUUUAAAGAAAACUCGCGCUGAAUUAUGA
Drosophila mojavensis is the source of this 781-nucleotide long non-coding RNA. RefSeq lists it as uncharacterized. The record is from RefSeq and is a predicted model, not a curated record. Lineage: Eukaryota; Metazoa; Arthropoda; Insecta; Diptera; Drosophilidae. The transcript has 2 exons.